Non-coding RNA from Oryctolagus cuniculus (rabbit), 1377 nucleotides. Lineage: Eukaryota; Metazoa; Chordata; Mammalia; Lagomorpha; Leporidae. The record is from RefSeq and is a predicted model, not a curated record.
AGAUCAAACUAUAAUGAUGUUGCUUAUACUAUGUAAGUAUGGUCCUUCUGCAACAGAGAAAGAAAAUUAUGAUUAUGGAAAACAGUUAUGGAAGCAGAAAAACGACAGAAUCUUGAAGUUCCAGACUACCACUUGGCAAUGGAACCCCAACACACGUUUCUUCUUGGUUCGGUGGUCACAUCUUGUAUUGGAUAGAGUUGGAGACAGAGAAAGGUCGUCUUUCUGUAGGUUCACCCCCCAAAAUGGCCACUAUGGCCGAAACUAUGUCGAUCUGAAGCCAGGAGCCAGGUGGUUCCUCCUGAUCUCCCAUGUGGGUACAGGGGCCCAAGUACUUGGGCCAUCCUCCACUACCUUCACGGGCCACAGCAGAGAGCUGGACUGGAAGAGGAGCAGCCUGGACUAGAACCCGACACCCAUAUGGGAUGCUGGUGCCACAGGUGGAGGAUUAACCAAAUGUGAUACAGUUACCCAUGUGGGUCCCAGAUGAGGUCACAAUGUCCUUGGAGAGGUAGAGUGGUAUUUGACCUAGACGGAAGAACUGAAGAGAAGGUGACAGGGUAGGCAGAGACAAGCUAUGGAGUAUCAGCUGCCACAGGAAUCUGGGGGAGGUAAGAGCAUGUUGUCCUCAGGAGCCUCUGGAGGGAAACGAACAUAUGGACAUCAUAGUGUUAGCCCAGCAGCAAUGACCCCUGAUGAUUUCUGGCCUCUAAAACUGGGAAGAAAUAUCUGUUGUUUCAAGGCACCCAUUUUAUAGCAAUUUCUUAUAGUGAUCAUAGGAUACCAUGGUAUUUCUUAAUGAUUUCUUCUUAAAAUGUUUGCUGUAAGUUUUAAUUACAUUCUCUUUAUGAGAUUGAGAAUUUAGAGGUUCUUCUUAGUGUUUGAAGAGUUUUUGUGGUGAAUGGGUGAUGAAUAAAUUUUUGUAUUGAUUAUUUCCUUUUACCUUUUAACACAAAUGAUGCACAUACACAUAGGUUGUUCUAAAUAUAAACUGUUUGCUUUCCUAAGAUAAACUCAACAUGUGCAUCAUGUUUUAUGUUUUAAUAGAUAAGAUUUGUUAAAAUUUAUUGAGAAUUUUAUGUCUACAUUUACAUGAACUGAAUUAUACUAUUCCUUUCUUGUACUGUAACUUUUUUAUUUUGGUGUAAGAUAAAAUAGCUGUAAACGAUUAGCUUGUGCUUGAUUUAUUUGUAUUUACUAGUGAUGUUUAUGUAAGAAUUGAUUAUCAAUUCCAAAGCCAGGUUUAAAUUUACUCUAUACAAGGAAGGUGAUAGUAAUGAUCCUCCAAAAAGUAAUUUUGAUAAACUCAAAUUUAACAAUAUUUUUAUGGUAUUAUGGAAUGGGUCAUGAAUUCAAUCCAUUUAACAAAUCAGAGUUAAU